AUACUUGUCUAGUAGAGAAAAUACCAUAAUCGCGAAAGUGGUUUUAUUUUUUUCAGAGAAAAGCUUAUCCCUCAUUUUCGGGAUAUGCUGAUUCUUGCGAUUUCCCCCAAUGGGGGGAAGUCGAUUACACAAUUUGCGGCAGUGGGGUGCUGAGUUCGCCUUGUUUUCUA
Small nuclear RNA from Equus caballus (horse), 170 nucleotides. Its record names the gene U1. It matches the Rfam family "U1 spliceosomal RNA". From Rfam's summary of the family: U1 is a small nuclear RNA (snRNA) component of the spliceosome (involved in pre-mRNA splicing). Its 5' end forms complementary base pairs with the 5' splice junction, thus defining the 5' donor site of an intron. The record is from Ensembl. Lineage: Eukaryota; Metazoa; Chordata; Mammalia; Perissodactyla; Equidae.